Long non-coding RNA from Bos taurus (domestic cattle), 399 nucleotides. The record is from Ensembl. NCBI's taxonomy places the organism in Eukaryota, Metazoa, Chordata, Mammalia, Artiodactyla, Bovidae.
CUGACUCUUUGCAACCCCAUGGACCAUACAGUCCAUGGAAUUCUCCAGGUCAGAAUAUUGGAAUGGGUAGCCUUUCCCUUCUGCAGGGGCUCUUGGAUUCUUUGCCAGCUGAGCCACAAGGGAAGCCCAAGAAUACUGGAGUAGGUAGCCUAUCCCUUCUCCAGCGGAUCUUCACGACCAAGGAAUCCAACCGGAGCCCCCUGCAUUGCAGGCUGAUAAGCAAACAAAGAAAGUUUAAGUAAAUAGUGAUAUCCUUAAUACAAAACUCAUCAAAAGGAAAAAGCACUGUGGAUUCCCAAGAAAAGAGGAUGGAAACAACAGAGAGACCAGUUCUGUUAAUGUGCCCAAUGCAUUGGCAACAAAUCCGAGAUAAAUGCUUGUAUUUUGUUGAAGCUUCCA